RNAcentral lists this non-coding RNA (21 nucleotides) under Caenorhabditis elegans. Lineage: Eukaryota; Metazoa; Nematoda; Chromadorea; Rhabditida; Rhabditidae. The record is from RNAcentral.
UGGUAUCCUCAAAAAGCUUUC